This 264-nucleotide ribosomal RNA is filed under the name Triticum aestivum (bread wheat). RNAcentral describes it as "partial small subunit ribosomal RNA". The record is from RNAcentral. Lineage: Eukaryota; Viridiplantae; Streptophyta; Magnoliopsida; Poales; Poaceae.
AUGGCUUCAUCCGGUUCCAGGACGAGGCCGGCGUGCGCGGACCAAGAGGACAUGCCGAAGACGUGGAUGGAGGCCAGUUUGGACAAGGAGAAGGAGAAGGAUGUGCACACACCAUCAUGUUGGUGUGCUGAUGUUUGUAAGCUGAAGGUGUCCACUGACCGCAACAAGUCAUGGACAGAAGGUAGAAGGUUUUUCGUGUGUCCCAACUAUGCACAUGAUCGUCGAAGGACAACUAACGCAUAUGACAUACCACCGGUAUGUUAG